Molecule: long non-coding RNA, 936 nt
Filed under: Rattus norvegicus (Norway rat)
Lineage: Eukaryota; Metazoa; Chordata; Mammalia; Rodentia; Muridae
Description: long non-coding RNA NONRATT006592
Source: RNAcentral
GCUGAAUGGUCGUGUCCCUGUGACAGGUGUUGCGGAGAUACCCUCCACAGUGGAAGAGCUCAGACCCGGAGACGCUGGUGUCUUACUGCGGCCCAGAGCAAGGAUGGGCAGUCCGGUAUUCAGGAGACCUUUCUGCCAUCUGUCCACCUACAGCCUGCUCUGGGCCAUAGCAGCAGUAGCGCUGAGCACAGCUCAAGUGGAAGUGGUGACCCAGGAUGAAAGAAAGCUGCUGCACACAACUGCAUCCUUACGCUGUUCUCUAAAAACAACCCAGGAACCCUUGAUUGUGACAUGGCAGAAAAAGAAAGCCGUAGGCCCAGAAAACAUGGUCACUUACAGCAAAGCCCAUGGGGUUGUCAUUCAGCCCACCUACAGAGACAGGAUAAACAUCACUGAGCUGGGACUCUUGAACACAAGCAUCACCUUCUGGAACACAACCCUGGAUGAUGAGGGUUGCUACAUGUGUCUCUUCAACAUGUUUGGAUCUGGGAAGGUCUCUGGGACAGCUUGCCUUACUCUCUAUGCCCAUAGUACACCUUCACUACAACUAUUUUGAAGACCACCUAAACAUCACGUGCUCUGCAACUGCCCGCCCAGCCCCUGCCAUCUCCUGGAAGGGCACUGGGUCAGGAAUUGAGAAUAGUACUGAGAGUCACUCCCAUUCAAAUGGGACUACAUCUGUCACCAGCAUCCUCCGGGUCAAAGACCCCAAAACUCAGGUUGGAAAGGAAGUGAUCUGCCAGGUUUUAUACUUGGGGAAUGUGAUUGACUACAAGCAGAGUCUGGACAAAGGAUUUUGGUUUUCAGUCCCACUGCUGCUGAGCAUUGUUUCUCUGGUAAUUCUUCUGGUCUUGAUCUCCAUCUUAUUAUACUGGAAACGGCACCGAAAUCAGGAGCGGGGUGAGUCAUCACAGGGGAUGCAAAGAAUGAAAUAAG